Molecule: ribosomal RNA, 253 nt
Filed under: uncultured bacterium
Lineage: Bacteria
Description: partial 16S ribosomal RNA
Rfam family: Bacterial small subunit ribosomal RNA
Source: RNAcentral
UACAGAGGUCCCAAGCGUUACUGAGAAUCACUGGGUUUAAAGGGUGCGUAGGUGGUCCGUUAAGUCAGUUGUGAAAUCCCCGGGCUCAACCCGGGAACUGCUUCUGAUACUGGCGGACUUGAGGCCGGUAGGGGCAUCUGGAACUAGCGGUGGAGCGGUGAAAUGCGUUGAUAUCGCUAGGAACUCCGGUGGCGAAGGCGAGGUGCUGGACCCUUUCUGACGCUGAGGCGCGAAAGCCAGGGGAGCGAACGGG